RNAcentral lists this unclassified non-coding RNA (337 nucleotides) under soil metagenome. RNAcentral's name for it is "partial contains 5.8S ribosomal RNA, internal transcribed spacer 2, and large subunit ribosomal RNA". The stretch from base 1 to 120 matches the Rfam family "5.8S ribosomal RNA", at positions 35 to 154 of the family's 154-position model. The record is from RNAcentral.
GAUGAAGAACGCAUCGAAAUGCGAUAAGUAGUGUGAAUUGCAGAAUUCAGUGAAUCAUCGAAUCUUUGAACGCACAUUGCGCCCCAUGGUAUUCCGUGGGGCAUGCCUGUUCGAGCGCCAUUUACCCCCUCAAGCUCCGCUUGGUGUUGGGCGUCUGUCCCGCUUCGCGCGCGGACUCGCCCCAAAGGUAUUGGCAGCGGUCGUGCCAGCUUCUCGCGCAGCACAUUGCGCUUCUCGAGGCACCGGUGGGCCCGCGUCCAUCAAGCUCACCCCCCCAGUUUGACCUCGGAUCAGGUAGGGAUACCCGCUGAACUUAAGCAUAUCAAUAAGCGGAGGA